RNAcentral lists this unclassified non-coding RNA (305 nucleotides) under fungal sp. Its description in RNAcentral is "partial internal transcribed spacer region". The stretch from base 1 to 46 matches the Rfam family "Eukaryotic small subunit ribosomal RNA", at positions 1786 to 1831 of the family's 1831-position model. The record is from RNAcentral. Lineage: Eukaryota; Fungi.
AAGUCGUAACAAGGUUUCCGUAGGUGAACCUGCGGAAGGAUCAUCAAUAGUCUCAAGUCUUGUCCGGAAUACGCGCAAGUGUUUCCGGCUUGACAAAUACCUUCUUGUGCACUGUUUGUUGGUUAUGACUGACUGGGGGAGUUGUUGAGAUGUGCUUCUGUGCAUCUUGCGCCCCCAGCCGGUUGUUUGUUUAUUACAAACGCUAUUAACAUAAAUGUCUUUAGAAACUAGUUGUGAAAAAUUGUAAAUAUACAUACAACUUACAGCGAUGGAUCUCUAGGCUCUGGUGUCGAUGAAAACGCAGC